Molecule: long non-coding RNA, 796 nt
Organism: Panicum virgatum (switchgrass)
Lineage: Eukaryota; Viridiplantae; Streptophyta; Magnoliopsida; Poales; Poaceae
Exons: 2
Source: RefSeq, a predicted model, not a curated record
UUUGCCGAUCCGGACGCCAUCUGCAAAUUCCGGACGCUGCGCACCCUCCCUUUCCCCUUUCCUCUUUCCUCUUCUCCAGCGUGGCCUCUUCCCUGCUUCCCUCUCUCCAUGAUCCUCCAGGCGGCGCGACGGCCAGCGAGCCCCCUCGCGGCGGCGCAGCACCACCCGCAGAGGCCUGGCCCCUGGAUCCAGGAUUCAGGCCACGCCAUGGCGCGGCAGGCGAGCCAGCCCCGGGCGGGUCCCUGUAAGGCGACCCGCCCCGAGCGGCACGGCCAUGGACAUGGACGAGGUGGAGCAGCAGCCCAUUGAAUCGAUCGAGAGAAGAAGAGAAUGGACGAGGUGGAGCAGCAUUUGUAGGCAACAGAUCGAGAAGUUCCAAGGACAAAGAUGGUGACGGGAUGGUCACGACCAAGGAGCUCGGGACGAUGAUGCGUUCGCUGGGGCAGAGCCCGACGGAGGAGGAGCUGCACGACAUGGUGAACAGGGUGGACACCGAUGGCAGCGGCGCUAUCGACUUCCAGAACUCCCUGACCCUCCUGGCGCGAUGAGCUCCGCCACGUCCUCCGAAACCUCGGCGAGCGCCUCUCUGUCACGCACGGUGCAGCGGACACACGAUCAUAUAUUUGAAUUAGCAUAUGGUGUAAUGAGUUGGGUUAAGUGGGGAAGGUGUGGGCCCGACGGGCAGUACCGGCCUCUGGGUGUAUGUAUACCCAUGCCAUGUAAUAGACAAGACAGACUUGUAUUCUGAAUGAAAUCGAAUCGCAUCGGGGUUCAGGGUUCCUCCCUCCCCAAGUUA